UGGGGAAUAUUGCACAAUGGAGGGAACUCUGAUGCAGCGACGCCGCGUGAACGAAGAAGGCUUUCGAGUCGUAAAGUUCUUUUAUAUGGGAAGAUAAUGACGGUACCAUAAGAAGAAGCCCCGGCUAACUACGUGCCAGCAGCCGCGGUAAUACGUAGGGGGCUAGCGUUGUCCGGAAUCACUGGGCGUAAAGGGUUCGCGGGCGGAAAUGCAAGUCAGGUGUAAAAGGCAGUAGCUUAACUACUGUAAGCAUUUGAAACUGCAUAUCUUGAGAAGAGUAGAGGUAAGUGGAAUUUUUAGUGUAGCGGUGAAAUGCGUAGAUAUUAAAAAGAAUACCGGUGGCGAAGGCGACUUACUGGGCUCAUUCUGACGCUGAGGAACGAAAGCGUGGGUAGCAAACAGG
Molecule: ribosomal RNA, 403 nt
Filed under: bacterium
Lineage: Bacteria
Description: partial 16S ribosomal RNA
Rfam family: Bacterial small subunit ribosomal RNA
Source: RNAcentral